Long non-coding RNA from Rhipicephalus sanguineus (brown dog tick), 935 nucleotides. RefSeq lists it as uncharacterized. NCBI's taxonomy places the organism in Eukaryota, Metazoa, Arthropoda, Arachnida, Ixodida, Ixodidae. The record is from RefSeq and is a predicted model, not a curated record. The transcript is spliced from 3 exons.
CGCUUAUAUGGAGCCCGACGCGAAAAUGGCUCGAGCGGACGCAACGCUUAUAUGGAGCCCGACGCGAAAAUGGCUCGAGCGAACGCAACGUUUAUAUAUACAGAGUCCGUUGUUUUAUGCAGGAAUUGAAAUCGGCGCCGCGGCGAGAAGCGAGAGAGAAACUUCUAGCAACAGCGCCGAGCGAGCGUGCUCAAAGUUCGAAGUCCACGUUGACGUCGCGUAGUGUUUCCUGUGCUGGCGCCGAAUGCGGCCGGUGAAUUCAAGAUACAGCCGCGCCUCCCUGACUUUGGCCUGUGUGAAAAGCCACAAAUUUUUAAUAAAAAAUAUGACCUGUAGCAUAUGACGACACUUCUGCCACCUACAUUCUUUUUGGUUUAGACUGUAAGCUAACAGUUGCAACAGGUCUCGUUGUACUGCCGGAGCGCCGCCGCCAGCUUCACAUGUGUGCCGCGCUUACAUGUUUAUCGUGUAUUGUGUGCGUUUAUUGCGUGCUUAUCGUACGCGACAUUCGUCGACUGGGCAUUUUCCGCGUGUUGGGGCGUUCUCCUGCCUUGAUCCAGUGGCGGAUGAUGGUCGUUGUUCGUUGCCACUCAACACAGCCUCACGGGACGCACAGCUUUGUGUCCGCGCUCAAAAGUGCUUUCUUGCUUCGUUCAUCGAUUACUCACGUUGAUCGAGUGAUCGAGUGUACUUCCGAAGACAAUCCGCGUCCGAGUGUUUUGACAAGCGGCGACCGCGGUUCCACAGGAGCGGAAGCUUGAGCCUUUUGACGAGCGACUGUGAAGAGUGCCAAUGCCAAACUUGGGAACCGUCGUGUUGGCACAGCGAGGAUGAUCAACAGAUACCCGAUAGGCAGCGAUGAGAGCUGUUCAUGGCACCGACACAGAGGACAGAUUGCAGUACAAGAUAGGAGCAUACUUCCUGCAAGCCCGGGC